CAGUCACUCGUCCAGCAUAUAUUUAUUGAGUGUUUAUUAUGUGCCGGAUGCUGGAGUGACAAAAAAAUGAACAAGAUGUAGAUCCGGCCUUCAAGUGUAGCUGGUGAUUUUCCACAAAACCCUCUAUUAUUGUAUCUUAACAUCCAGGAGUCAGCCAGGAGUUACACUGAUCAUAAAUCGAUAACCUCAUUUCAAAGCUCAAACACAGAGAUGGCAAAUAAAGCCCUGGGCAGCACUGACUGAAGCAACAGAUGACUCAUUAAUAGCAGGAGGCAAUGAAUAACUUUGCCACUGAGAGUGAAAGAAAAUUCCCCCUUUGCACAAUGCCUUUCACUUAAAUAGCAUUUGGAUUUCUUAAAAUCCACAAAGUUUAUAUUAGAGCAUCAUCCAUUAAUGCUUUGGCUAGGAGGGAGUCUAUCGCCCUGGUUGGAGUGCAGCAGUGUAAUCAUAGCUCACUGCUGCCAUGAACUUCUGGGCUUAAGCGAUCCUCCCACCUCAGCCUCCCUGUGUGCUGAGAUUAAAAGUGUGAGCCACCAUGCCUCAUCGUAAGGGUCUUCAAAGAAACCCUAUUUCAUAAGAACCGACUGCCGAGGAAAUUCAAAACACAUCCAUGAAAGCAGAAAAUUAUAAUGUGACAAGUGAAGAAUUGAAAUGGAUUCACCCUAAAAGCAGAGCCAAAUAUCAGCCAUUGUCAUGGGCCCCUAGGAGGACUGAGUCUGGUGAUGCACGAAUACCAGAAUGCAAGUGUGGUGCAAUGACAGCAAUAACACAUGUGUGCACCUUGAAGCCAGAGGGAUGGAAACCCCAGCCAAUGCCUCUUUCUCUUUUUCAGCCAUGUUUGCUUUCCAUAUGCUGGAUGAUGUGUAUGGAUUUUCAGUGUGUGUUUCAGAGUCUUAAAAGCUCAUGCUAGCUUGCUUAACAUACCUCUAUAACUCAUGAUAUAGAACCCUACGGAGAACUGUGUUGCAACAUGGAUGCAGUGCCUAUACUAAGGCACACUGCCAACCUGAAGACUGUCAGAGAGCAUCACUAACGGAGUGAUGGCAGCAGCAGCCCAUCCAGAAUGGCUGCUGCCAACAUGCCGGCUGCCGUGGGGAGGCACAGCCAGUCCUCCCACUCCACAGAGCAGGUAGGAGUCCUUUCCCUGGGCCCCAGGCCUCCUGCUCCAAGGGACAAGUGCGAGCCCUGCCCCUUCCGAAUUGGCAGGGCAGGAGCUCCUCAUGGGCAGCUGCAGCCACCCAAACCCGGCUGUGGACCUGGGCAUCUCUGUGCUCUUGUGGGGCUGGGAAGGCCUCCCUACCCCCCACUCCCCACAGACUCUGAAUUGCCUGGUCCCACUGUCUGGCCUGUCCCCACUCCUGGCACCCACUCAGAUCAUGGAGCAAGGUGGGAGCCUGCUGAGUGGGGCAUGCUUGGGUCAGCACUGACAUGUCAGCCCCACUCCCACCUUGGCCCCCUCCAGACAUUGGGUGCUGAUGAGCAUGGGGGGGGACUCAAAGCAGGGCUGAAGGCAGCUCAGUGCUGGCCUGCAGGUGCGCCUUGGUAUGAAUAGCCUGGGUGCCAUGAACAGCAGGAAAGGCAAACAGGCUCCUGGGCUGAAUGGGGUGGGUCCCCAGUGAAGCCCCACCCUCAAGCUGGGGAAGCCUUGAAGCCUGGGGGCCUGGCUGCCAGUCCCGUGGACUGAAGGGGGAACUGGUGGUGCUUUUUCCUGGGCCCACCCAUGGCUGCUGAUGGACCAGUCAGCACACACUUUCCCACUUCCCCACAAGACUGUAAAAACCCCAGACUCAGCCAGAGCAGAGCAGAUAUCUGGACCAGCAGCUACAGAGAGGAGCUGCCUUCUCCAGGGCCCCCUCUCUACUGAGAAAUGUGAACAAUUUGACAACCAGCAGCACAAAGGAGCUACCUUCCCUGCUGAGAGCUGAACAUUUGUCAGGACAAGCUAUCUGCAGAGAGGAACCACCCACUCCAGGCCUCCUCUUUGCUGAGAGCUGAACACUCAACAGGAUGACCAGCUGCAGAGAGGGGCCACUCACUCCAGGGCUUCCUCUCUGCUGAGAGCUGCAGAGAUGAUGGGAUUACCUGCCUACAGAGAGGAGCCACCCACUCCAGGCCUCCUCUCUGCUGAGAGCUGAACACUGACAGGAUGAUCUGCCUGUAGAGAGGAGCUAUCCACUAUGGGUCUCCUCUGAGCUUUUCUAACACUCAAUAAAGCUCCUCUUCAUCUUACUCACCCUCCACUUGUCUGCCUCAUUCUUCCUGGACACAGGACAAGAACUCGGGCCAAGGUGCCAUUGUCCACAGAUAUUUCUGGCCAGGAAAGCAACACCCCAAAGAUCCCAUAACAUUAGUAGAUCUUUUCCUCUUAGUAUGUUGAUAAUUGACUUGCUGGUUUCUAUAUCAAGUUCUUAAUGAUUUGAUUAAUAGGAGCCAGAUCCCCAGAGCUUGAUCCCUUCUAGAUGCAAUGACACACUGAGUUCAAAAGUUAAAGUGCUGGUGACCCCAUGGUGACACACUUUGGCCUUCCCUUGGUAGCCAAGGAGACUGAUGUUAAUGCUAUUUCAUUUUGUCCUAACUGAGCAUCAAGUAUUCUCAAAUUCAGUAAAGUGGUUUCUAAGCGAAGAGAAUGGAGUUUGAGAAAGACUAGGGUGGCGAAAAAUAGUGUUUAAUAAAAUCAGAUGCUAAGGGAAUAGAAACUGGGAUAAAAAAUAUUGGGUGAAAUGAAACAAAAAAAGGAUUUUAUUAUACUUUGUAGUUUAUUUUAUUUUAUUUUAUUUUUAUUUUUAUUUAUCUAUUUGAGACGUAGUCUUGCUCUGUUGCCCAGGCUGGAGUGCAGUGGCACGAUCUCAGAUCACUGCAACCUCCACCUCCCAGGUUCAAGUGAUUCACCUGCUUCAGCCUCCUGAGUAGCUGGGAUUACAGGCAUGUACCACCACACCCAGUUAAUUUUUGUAUUUUUGGUAGAGACAGGUUUCACCAUGUUGGCCAGGCUGGUCUUGAAUUCCUGACCUCAGAUGAUCCACCUGCCUUGACCUUUCAAAGUGUUGGGAUUACAGCCAUGAGUUACUGCACCCGGCAGUAUUCCUUAUAUUUUAAUAUUACAUAUUUAUAUUUUUCAGGUAAUAUACAAUGAAAAUUCAUUGCAAUUAGAGUGUUAAAAUAGUGUAUGUUAAGAAGAAAUAAAAUGCGGAUUUUUUUUUCUCCCCAGUCCUUAAUUAUCUCUAACCUUAUAUUUACACUGGUAUCUCUGAAUGAUUCAGAUAUAAUUAACAUUUACUGAGCAUACAGUGUUUGCAGGUAAUGUGGUAGUCAUUUUAUACACUAUAUAUCAUGGAAUUAUUUUGCCAAAACUAAUUGAUCAAUUCAUCAAUAAGUAUUUAGAAUGACUAUUUUCCUGUUAUCUUGAGACUGCUUUUAAAUGACCUCAAAAAGACUAAUUUAGGUCCCCUUCCCUCCCAACCUCCACAAAAUGGAAUAUCAAUUGUUAUUAUUUUAUUAGCAAUGCAAAACCAGUAAAAAGCUUGACUGGAUUUCUCAUUCUACAGGGGGAGUGACAGAGUGACUGGUGAAGCAUCUGGAUGCAAAACUGAAGGGGUCCAAGGAAAGCUCAGCUAUGGGGCAGUUUUCUUUUCCUAUCUAAAAAGGACUAACAGUUCUCUGUUAACCUUCUUUUGUGUCAAAUACAGGAAAUUAAUGAGGUUUUAAAAAUAUCUCCUGCAAGUUGAUCAGUGUCCUUUUAUUUUUUGUUUUUCUGAUUUUAUCCCUUCAUGAAUAUUGUUCCCUUUUGUUAUGCAGGCAACCAGCCUGAUGGGCUAGUUUUCCAGGUAAUCCAACUUUGCUCCACGGCUUUAAGACUGUUGAAUCAAGCUGGUUUCUUCCUUGCAUAUCUUCUUCUGUUUAGAAACCUUAUUCCUUGUUGGUGAUUUUGUCAGUUUUGUGCUUUGAUUGCUUUGUGUCAUAAAACCUUUUUAGAUAAAACUAUAUGUGUUGGGGAAGGAGACCAACAAAAAUAUAUUAUUCAAUUACCUUAAUCAAAUCUCUUUGGGUUAAUGAGUGUGACCUCAGUUAUGGCAAUUUUUAGAAAUGUAGCUUUUGAAUUGAAGUUCUUUUGAAAAAAAAAAAGACUACUUAUUAGGGGCAAAAAAACAAGGAAUAGUUGUGUUCUACUUUUGAAACACUGUCAGAUUUAAAUAGUACUGGUACAAUAGAAAUCUUGUGGCUUGGGAUUCAGAGAUCUGAGUUCCAGUUUUCGCUUUGCUCGUAAGUAAUAUUUAGGUGAUCAGGUAAACUCCUCUUAGUUUCUUUCUCUAAAAAGAUGGGAUUAAAUUAGAUGAUUUUUUAGGAUAUCUAGAAAUUCUAAGACUCUGUAAGGCACUGUGUUAUGACAAGGUCCUUUUAGACAUAAAUCAAAAUUAUUCUGAAAUUAUUAUUUCAUAUUUUAGAGGCAUCAGUAGGGCUUAUUAUAAAAUGAACUGGUAUGAAAUGACAUUAUUAUCUUUAUUUCACAUGCUGUAGAUAUAAAUACAUACUCUAAUGAGCUUCAAAUAGCAUUAAUUAAACUGUUUGAGAAGACACGCCCUCUAAUCUUUUUUGAAAACAAAGCUGCCCAGUAGAAAUAUGUGAGCCAUACAUGUAAUUUAUAUUUUCUAGUAGCCACAUUAAAAAGUAAAAAAAGUAAAAUUAAUUUUACUAUCAUAUUUUAGUUAAUCCGAUACAUCCAAAAUAUUAUUGCCUCAAUAGGUAAUCAGUUAAAAAUUAAUGAGUUAUUUUUCAUUCAUUUUCUUAAUAAAACAAUUUUAAAAUGUCUGGUGCAUAUUUUAUACUUACAGCAUACCUUAUUUUGGAUUAGCCACAUUCCAAGUGCUCUAUAGCCACACAUAGCUGGUGGCUACCAUAGUGGUCAGUGCUAAUCUAGAUAAAAUACUUUAUUCCAAUCAUAACUUUAAAACUGUGUACUAAAAGUAUGUGAGAAAAACUCUUCAUUCUUUGUAUUCAACUGAAUUCCAAUUAACCUUUUGAGAAGAUUGUGUUUGCCCAGGUUUUGACAACGUGGCCACUUUCACACAGUACAAACUGCAGGGAUGUCAAUCAUCUUUCAGAGAAUGUAGGUUGUGCAACGAAUCCCAAUUAUCCAGCAUCCAUGACAGAGGCUGUGAUGGCUUUGCCUGGAAUUUCAAAAAUGGUCUCAACUUGAAAGUGACAUAUUUCAUUGUGUUCAUUGAAAAACUGAUGCCUUAUCAGAAAACCUAUUUUUCUACUGCCUCUAGAAUACUGACCAUUGCAAACAGAUUUUUAAAGGUUUCAUAUAUACUGUGGACAGUUCUUUCAAAGCCCCAAAGCAGAGAAAAUUAGUCCAAAUUUGCUCUUUGUUGCAAACAUUUUGCACAACAUUGUGCUAUGUAUUUGAAUAGUGGUGUUACAUAGUAAAUUAGCUUUUUGAACUAAAACAUUUAAACAAACUUUCUGUGCUUUUGUUUUGGCUCCAUAUUUAUUUAUUGAAACUUAUUAUUUUUUAUUGAUAAACCAUAAUUGUCUACAUUUAUGAGGUACAGCAUGAUGUUUUGAUAUAUGUAUAUACACAAUGUGGCAUAAUUAAAUCAAGCUAGUUAACGUGCUUAUCACCUUGCUUACCUAUUAUCUUUAUAAGACAUUUAAAAUUUUCUGUUAUUUAAAAAUAUAUAUUAUUAUUGACUAUAGUCACCCUGCUGAGAAACAACUCUCAAAACGUAUUACUCUUGUUUAUCUGAAACUUCGUACCCUUUGAUUACCUGUCAUCAUUCCCUUUCUUCCUAACCCUCCCUACCUGCCACCCUAGCCUCUGCUAACCAUUGCUCUACUCUACUUCUAUGAGUUCAAUUUACUUUUUUAAAUUAAAUUAAAUUAAAUUUUAACUUCUGGGAGUGUUCAACUUUAUAAGAUUUCACAUACGGGUGAGACCAUGCAGUAUUUGUCUUUCUGUGCUUGACUUAUUUCACUUAGCUCCAUGUCCUCCAAAUUCAUCCGUGUCAUCACAAAUGACAGGAUUUCCCUCCUUUGUAGGACCGAAUAGUAUUCCGUCAUGUAUGUGUACCCACAUUUUCUUUAUCCAUUCAUCUACUGAUGGACAUUUGGGUUGUUUCCAUAUCUUGGCUAUUGUGAACAAUGCUGCAAUUAGCAUAGCAGUGCAGAUAUCCCUUUGACAUACUGAUUUCAGUUUCUUUGGAUAUAUACCCAGAAGUGAGAUUACUGGGUUGAAUCGUAAUUCUAUUUUUGGUUUUUCUGGGAAGCUCCAUACCCUGUUUUCAUAAAAGCUGUAUUAAUUUUUACUCUCACCAACAACAUAUAAAAGUUCAAUUUUUCUGCAUCCUCUUAAUGGUUAUCUUUCAUCUUUUUGAUAAAAGCCAUUAUAUCAGGUGUGAGGUAAUAUUUCAUUGUGGUUUUAAUUUAUAUUUUUCUAAUUAGUGAUGCUAAGCAUUUUUCCAUGUAGCUAUUAGCCGUUUGUAUGUCUUCUUUUGAAAAAUAUCUGGGCUGUUUUCUCAUUUUUAAGUUAUUUGUUUUCUUGUUUUAAGUUGUUUGAGUUUCUUAUGUAUUUUGGAUAGUAACCCCUUAUCAGAUGUAUAAUUUGCAAGUAUUUUCUCCUAUUCUGUGGGUUGUUUUUCACUUUGUUAAUUAUUUCUUUUGCUGUGCAGAAUAUUUUAGUUUGAAGCCAUCCCAUUUGUCUAUUUUUAUUUCAUUGCCUGUGCUUCAGGGGUGAUAUCCAAGAAAUGACUGUCUAGACCAAUGUCAUGAAGAUUUUCUUCUUUGUUUUCUUUUAGUAGUUUUACAGGUUCAGGUGUCUUCUAUGUAAGUCUUUAAUUCAUUUUGAGUUGAUUUUUGUAUGUGGUAUAAGAUAAGGGUCUAAUUUUAUUCUUCUGCAUGGGGAUAUCCAAUUUUCCCAACAACAAUUAUUGAAGAGAUGGUCCUUUCCCCAUUGUGUAUUCUUGGCAACUUUGUCAAAAAUCUGUUAGCCGUCAAAUGCACGGGUUUAUUUCUGGGUUUUCUAUCUUGCUCCAUUGAUCAAUGUAUCUGUUUUUAUGCAAGUACCAUGCAGCUUUGAUUACAAUCACUUUAUAAUAUGUUUUGAAAUCAAGGCAUGUGAUACUUCCAGCUCUGUUAUUUUUGCUCAAGAUUGUUUUGGCAAUUCCUAACUCAGUGCCCUGACCAACUGUAUUGAAAUCAUCUACAGUGCUGACCAUAAAUAUGGAUUUCUGGUUUCUUUCCUCACUCUCAAAUCAAGAUCUUUCAAGGUAGUUCUCAAUAUUUUAAUUUUUAGCAAAGCCCCCAUGUUAUUUUUCUAUAGUUAGGUGAAAGAACCCCCCCCCAUCUUUUGUUCCAUAGCUGAAAAAAUAGAAGAUGAAAUAAUUUAAACUAUUUGCCUCAUAUUCUAAAACUAGUAAAUAUCAGACCUAGAAUCAGAGCCUACCUAAGCUUUCUCUCUUAAUAAUGUUUCUGAAAUGACCCUGUGUCCAUUAAUAAUGUUCAACACCAUAUACUGAACUAAUUAAAGGAGAAAAAAGGACAUAUUUUAGACACAUUUUUAACAAUAAAGAUUUUUAAAAAUAGAGUCACUUGAAUUAAAUUUAAUCAGAUUAUCUUUCCACAGUUACUCUAUUUAAUCAAGCUUUUACUAUCAAACUUUGCAGUAGCAUUCUUCAGAGAACCUUGUAAGCAAGUUCUCUUAAGCACUUCUCUCGAAGGUAUAUGAGAUUUAAAUAAUGGAAGAAGAUACCCGUAUAUUUUUCCCCUGGUAGUUGAAAUCAUUUAGAUAGUUUUAUGUAAAUUUUAUGCAAAUGGAACACAUUUUAUGCCCCCAAACUUAUGGCGAUCAUAACUACUUUAUUCACCAAAAGUUGGCCUUCAGCAAGAUUCUACUGAGGACUGAUGAUCUAUGCAGUCUCCUUCUGCCUGGAUUUUUGUGACAUUUAUCAUCAUCCUACUUGGAUACUCAAAAGACUUGCAAUAUGUGAAUAUAGGACUGAAAUAAGACCCUGAUUUUCCUUCAACCAAGCCUGAACUACCUACCACAAGCACCUGGGGAUCAUUUUUUGUAGUUUCUUCUCUAGUUUCUUAGUACAAAUCAUCUUGAUUCAUUUACGUCAUAAAGUAAUAGAUAUUCAAAUUAUAAUUUUACUGAGUAAAAAGACAUACCCUGGUACGUAUGGAAAGUAUUACUAAAUUUUAUUAGUUUUUAAGAGUGACUGUUUGCCAAUAGCUAAAUUUAGAAAGACUAUGUUCCUAACAGUGCAGCUCUAGAGAAAAUUUUAAGGCGUGAUGAUUUCAUUAAUUUUCAGAGCAUUACAGCCAGCUGGCAAAGCCUUUUCUGUACCAUUGUGGCUUACUGCCUUUGAAAUUACUUUCUUUUCUUAAAUUAACCUGACUAUGUUAAAGUGACAAAAUAGCAAUAACGGUGUGAUAAAAUUGGCCUCUUUGUAUAAUCUUAAAGUAACUUAACUAACUUAAAUAAUAAUACCCUGAGUUUAUGACUACUGCAGUGUACUCCAUAAAAAGAAAUUGGUGUUAAGAACAUUUACAGAGCCCCAUAUUAGUUUUAUUGAUAGAUAAAUAACCUUUAAAAAUUUGAAUCAUAUGUAAAGUAGAAGGAGACUUCUAGCUCAAAAAGAAAUUCCCCAUUUAAACCCUCAGGACCUAGUUGUCUCACCUGUGGUGGUGGAAAGAGCACCAAGCUUGGAACCAGAGGGUCCAGGUUCGGGUCAUUGUCAUCGUGUGAGCAUGGGCAGGGCCACUGUCAUAAGGACGCCUGGAAGAGUGAAGAAAGGCCUGAUUGAUCACAAGGUCCUAUCAAAUGUCAAAGCUGGCCCUGGCUGACCUCCCAUCUAUUCAGAGCUGCUUUGAUUUAAUCUCCAAACUGGCUGCUUCUCCAGGCUGUGAGUUCUAUCUGCAACCCAUGUGUCAGCAUUGAGAUAUGACCUGCUUCACGCUCCAUUCAUCUCAUUUGAAGGACGGAAAUUAAACUCGAGGGUCGAAGAGGGGAACUGCUCAAAAUACACACACACAUUAACUGAAGCCUUUUGUAGAAGAGAAUUGAAAAUUUCAAGAAGGCAAAGGUGAUGGAAGUGUCUUCAUGAGACCCUUGGGUAACAUAAAUUGGCAAAGAAUUGGAUGAUCUGGGUUCUAAGAUCUGGCCUUAAAACUAGCCAUCUAUUGACUGAACAGAACAACAAUACCAAGUUUUCUGGAUGCCUCUCUGUCUCCAUCUGCUUUACCAUCUCCCCUUAAUUGAGGAAAAAUUUUUUUUAAGCAUCUAGCAUCCACUUGGAUUUGCAUUGACUGAUACAAGCAUGCGUUUUGCUGUGGUCAUGACUUUGACGAACUGUUCAGUGUGUAAGUACUGUCUUCCUGUACAUAAUUGUGCCCUUGACUCUGGUUUGUGGCUCCUUACUGCGUCAUAGUCUUACUUAGUCUCUUGAUUAUACAGUUAUAGCAAUUAUAUCCUUUUGUAAUUAAAAUCUUUGGUUGACUAUAUUAGUCUCAUCUUAAUGAUUCUUUCUAAAACAAAGGGAUAAUAAAUAAUCACUCUGAUACUAAUACUAUUAAUCACGUCUAUAUAUUAUUCUUAAGUUUUCUUCAAGAUCAGAUACUAUGACAUGAGUUAUAGAUAAUUUCCAUCAUCUUUCUUCUCCUUGCCAUGUGAAGAUCUAUGAUAAGCAGUAUUUUAAAAUGUGUGUGUGUAUUUGUGUGUAUAUUUAUAUGCAUAUGUUUUAAUUGAAUAGCUAUUAUUUGGUCUAAUGUUGUAGCCACGAGCAGAUUUUAUCUGUUAGAUGGACGAUGUUGGAUAGAUGAUUAUGUUUAUUAAAAGAUACUAAUAGUCACAGUCAUGAGCUAUUUCUUGAAGAGUUUCAUGCUCUAUAUUAAUUACAAUUUUUAUUUUGAAAUAAUUGCAGAUUCACAUACAAUUGUCUACCCUUUGCUCAAUUUCACCCAGUGGUAACAUUUCUCCGAGAUAUAAUACAAUAUUAUACCUAGGAUCUUGGUGUUGAUACAGUCAAGAUACAGAACAGUUUUAUCACCACAGAAAUCCCUCAUGCUGCUCUUUAUGUUUACAUCCACCUCUUUUCUGCCCUGCCCAUGCCCUGGCAACCACUAAUCUCUUCUUUUCUAUAAUUUUGUCCCUUCAAGAAUGUUAUGUAAAGGGAAUCAUAUAGUAUGUAGCCUUUUAGAUUUGGCUUUUUUUUUUUUUUUUCAUUCAGAGUAAUUCUGGAAAUUCGCCCAAAUUGUUACAUGUAUCAAUAGUUUGUUCCUUUUUAUUGCUGAGUAAUAAUCCAUGGCUGGAUAUGGUGGUUUGCUUAACCAUUCAAUCUUCGAAGGAUAUCUGAGUUAUUUCCAGUUUUAUGGCUACUAUGAAUAAAGUUACUGUGAAGAUUCAUGUGCAGAUUUAUAUUAAAAUAUACCUGGGGUUUUGUCUUUAUUCAGGUAUGAUGAGCCCAACAGAUCAGGAGACAUUGCCAUUAGAAAGUUUAUUAUUCAAAGUUCCCAAGAGGAGGGUAGAGUGUCAUUCCUCGCAGGACCAUACUAGAGAACAACAACAUCAGUUGCAGGCAAAGAGAGAGCAAGGGAAACUUCAGGAAAGCUUUUACUAUAGUUUUCUUGGAAGAAAUGGGUCAUUUGCUCUAAAGCAAAUGGGCUAAGCAAGUUUAGAACUCUUGGCUAAUAUGAAUAAUUUCAGUAUGCUUCAGGGUGUUGAAGCUGGCUGAUGCUUGGUCUUGGGGUGAUUAGGGCAGGUGAAUAGUGUCUUACAAGAGUAAGAACCCCUGAAAGAACAGGCAGGUCAGGGGUGUGGAUUUUGGAUCGGUUUGUUUACAUAUUGAUAUGGUUUGGCUUUGUGUUCCCACCCAAAUCUCAUCUCAAAUUAUAAUCCCCACAAGUUGAGGGUGGGUCUGGGUGGGAGGUGAUUGGAUCAUGGGGGUGAUUUCUCCCAUGCUAUUCUUGUGAUAGCGAGUGAAUUGUCACGAGAUCUGAUGGUUUUAAAGUGUGGUACUUGCAUUGUUCACUCUCUCUCUCCUUCCACUGUGUAAGAAGUGCCUUGCUUCCUUUUCACUUUCCACCAUGAUUGUAAGUUUCCUGAGGCCUCCCCAGCCAUGCGGAACUGUGAGUCAAACCUCUUUCCUUUGUAAAUUACCUAGUCUCAGAUAUUCUUUAUAGCAGCGUGAAAUGGGCUGAUACAGACAAUAGCAGCGUGAAAAUGGACUAACACACAUAUGAAAGGUACACUCUAAUGAGAGUCAAAAAGCCUUCUGCUAACUCUAGGAAUUCCAACUGUUAAACCUGUGGGAGGGGCAGUCCCUUCCUACUAACAAGGCCUAAGAUGUCAAAACAUCAGAUACAGAAACUUGAAAACACAGAUAAUACAAGUUUUUUGUGUGAACUUAAGUUUUCAGUUCUCUGGGAUAAAUGCCCAGGAGUGCAAUUUCUGGGUCAUAUGGUAAUUUCAUGAUUAGUUUUAUAGGAAAAUGCCAAACAAUUUUCCAGAGUGGUUGAACAAUUUCCCAUUACCACCAGAAAUGUCUAGGUGAUUCUGUUUCUCUAAUUCUGUAGAUUUAUAAAGUGUGCGGGAGGGAAUAAAGGGGUUAUUUGGAUUAUUAACACUUCAGGCAUUUAGGUAAACCAUGACAAUGAUUUUUUAUUUAGCAAGUACUAUCUGUAGUACACCGAACUGGGAACUGUGAAAGAUCCAAAGGUGAAGAGGUAGAUAAUUUUGCUCAAGGAGCCUCCAGUCCCUCAGUGGAAGCAGGCCUGUAAAUGUUGAACAAAAAAUAAUAAAAAUGGGUGGUACAUGUACAUUCAACCAGUCUGCAGUGUAGGCACAGUGGAAAUGCUAAGUAUUUGAAAUAAUGGAUAUGCUAAUUAGCUUGAUUCAAUCAUGCUGCAUUGUAUACAUAUAUCACAGUAUCACUUUUUACCUCAUAAAUAGAUAUAAUUUAUUAAACUCAAUACAAUUUAAAAAACAAGUAAAGUUUAAGAAUUCUGAGGGUGUGGCUGGUGAGGCCUGAUGUAGGUAGUAAUCUCUGAGCAGUGUCUGAAGAAUAAAUAUAAUUUUAAAAGUAAAGAAAAAAAGUGCAAAAGGCAUUUAACAUUCAAAAUAUUUUGUGUGCUGGGUGCACUAGGGGUAUUCUGAUGGGAUUAGAGCCCUAGCACAGUGGGGAGAUGGAUGGAGCAAUGAAAGUGAGAAACAGAAUUGAAGAAAGAUCAUGAGUAAACUGGAAUGACCUGUGAAGAAGCUAGACUUGGUUUGGUAGCUGAUGUGAAGUCACUGAAUUUGGAGAAGAUGAAUACCAGUUGGCCUGCAUUUUAAGAUAUUGACGAAGUUCCCUGAAAACAGUCAAGAUCAAAGGUGAAGAGAACUGAGGGGAAGCUAUUGUGGUAGUUUAGGUGAAAGAUGCUGAGAGCAUGAGCUCAUUGCAGAGCCUUUAAAAUGUCAUUGUGCUAUUUUCUUUAAUUAAGUCAACUACAAAAAAAUGCAUGUUCCUUGCAAGCACAUCAGAAAACAAUGCAAAAAAAUAAACAGAAAUCACCCUUGAUCACCACAGCAAACAUUUUGAAAUAUUUUAAUAAAAAUGUUUGUAAUCUUUUUAGCUAUACUGCCAUGAGUGCGUGUAUGUAUAAUUUUAAGCAUAUACCAGUGACAGCAUAUAUAAUGUUUAUGUCAUAUUUAUAACAUUUUUUCAUCAACAGUGUAUUAUAACAUCUUUUAGUAUAUAAGUGUAUUUAUUCACUAUCACCUAAAUUAUUCUCAUUGUAUGGAAACACUGUAACUAAAUCAACUCCUCCCCACCGCAGGAUAUUUAAGUGGUUUUGUUUAAUUUUGUUGGACUAUUUUACUAUUUCUAGCUUUUUAUUUACAUUCAGAACCUUAUUUGCAGACUUGGAAUAAGAAAUAAGAUUCUCUAUCUGUGGUUCUGUCUCUUGCCCAUGCUCAUGGAAGAUGAAGUUGGGGCUCCGCAGACAUCCUGAGAUGCACACAUUUUGUGCUGGCAUUGCACAUUGAGUGGCCUUGCCUCACCCCUCCAGCACUGAAAAUAGUAUGGCUUACGUUGAAUUAGAGACCAAUAUGCUUAUGAUUCUCUAGCUGCUGCAAUUUCUACUCAAGCUCUUUUAUCUCAUGUCGAGUUCCCAAAACUAGACUGUGCAUCAAAUUAUCCACAGAUCUUUUUACAAAUGAAAUGCUGAGGACCCACCAUAAAAGACUGUGAAUCAGUUGAUCUGGAGUCAGGUCAGGGAACUGUAUUUUUUACUCUUCCCUAGGGAAUUUGACCAUUCAGCCAAGGUGAAAACCAUGGUGCUAGACCUUUCUUUCCUCUCUUUUACUGAUAUAACUGUCUCCACUGACUAUGAGUUUGCCUACGUGGUGACAGAACAAUUUAAGCUAAGAUGGGGCUCAGUGAUGGCGGCUUGAUGUGUUCCUUUCUGGGAAGUUCAAUGUUUUCAACCAAAAGGGAGCCAAACUCAUGCAAACCAGUGACACAUUAGGAGCAGGAAUAGUUUUAGAAAGAGAGUUUCUUUAAAAAAAAUUUUUUAAUCUGAGACUGGGCUCCUAGGGGAUAUCCUACCAAGUGUGGAUCUUUUGCUUUUCCAAAGUAUUUCCUGAUCUUUCUGAUUGGGUGAUGAAACUUUUUGACACCCUUACUAAAAAGGAUGAAAAUAGGCUGGGUGCGGUGGCUCACGCCUGUAAUCCCAGCACUUUGGGAGGCCGAGGCGGGUGGAUCACGAGGUCAGGAGAUCGAGACCAUCCUGGCUAACAUGGUGAAACACGGUCUCUACUAAAAACACACACACACACAAAAAUUAGCCAGUCGUGGUGGCGGGCGCCUGUAGUCCCAGCUACUCGGGAGGCUGAGGCAGGAGAAUGGCCUGAACCUGGGAGGCGGAGCUUGCAGUGAGCUAAGAUUGCGCCACUGCACUCCAGCCUGGGGGACAGAGCGAGACUCUGUCUCAAAAGAAAAAAAAAAAAAGGAAAAUAUGGACAUUGGGGUGUACAUGACUAUCUCAUUUCUGAGCCCAUAUUUUAUGCAGGUGGUUGGAUACUGCGAUUACAUGAAAGACAAAUGGAAGCAUCUCAGAGUAGGGACAGAAGGACACAGAAGAGAGGCUUAUGUUGUUGAGGACAAAUUUUGUUCAUUGGGUUCUUUUCCUUGAGGUGGCCUCUCAAAUGCUACCCAAAGAACGUUGACCUGAGGAUGACAUGAGGAAGUCUGCAGAAGUACAGCUUUAGGCCAUUAACACAGGCUAAGCCAUCACUGCACAGUGGACAGAGCCCCUAGGUGGAUUCCCUCCUCUCAUGGCUGGCUCUUUCUGUCAUCACUGCCAGCUCAAAGUAGAGAUGCAUCCUCCUCACUCAUGCCUGUUGUCCAUGUUCCCUGUUAGAACUAAGAUAUUCUGCAGAUAUUUCUGUAAUCGAUCUUGCUGCAUUGCAGUCCUGUGCUGCCCUGACCUCCAGCUCUGCCUUCCUCCUUGGAUCUCUGAAAGUGUAACCUAGGUCUCCUCCCUGUUUCUGGUUUCACUUGCCUGAAACACAUCCCCUUCUUGGUGGACCAGAAUCAGCUCCAAUAUUUCUUUAAUUCCAUUACAGGGGCUGAGGUAUCCUCCUGGCUGCAAAGAGGAUAACAGAGUUUGCAGCUCCAGUCACCAGUUCUCUAUAAACCUCAAGAAAUUGCUUGGCCCGGGUUAAUUUUCCCCAUCUUUAGAGAAAAAUACUACCAUGUUACCAACACUUACUGAUACACUGAAAGCAUCAGAUUAAAAUAAAAUGGUUAGCUGCACUUUAAAGAAUGGAAAAGAUCUGUAGCAUCAAUAUUAAUCUUGCAAAAUCUGUGUGUCAAUAAUAUGGCAUAAAAAACAAAGUUAUUGCAAAAAAUGAUAUUUUUACAAAAAAGGAUCAAUAUGACCUGCCUGGAAAAUCAACACUGUGACUUCUCAUCAUUUAUAAUGUAUUAGCUAAAAGGUCUAAACCAUCUCAAUCAGGAGACAUGCUUUGAAUUUUCUACAUGAGGAUCUGGAAUGAUAUAAUAAUAGCAACAUUCAUUACCUACCAUGCGUGAGUAUUAUGCUUAAAUCACUCUCGUUCGAUUCUAUGGCAUCCCUGGAAGGGAAUUGGUAUCGUUCCUUGUUUUGCAGAUGACGUAUCUCAGAGAGAACCUCUACUCAAAAUCAACACUAAUUAGAUGUUUCUGCAGGGCCUAUGGGUUUUCCCAGCACACCACAGGUUCUCUCUGGUUCACUCGUGUACAAAGUCCCAGAAUUCUCAAAGCUUGCACCCAGUGUGGCUGCAGUGGUAUUGCUUUCUUCCAAUUCUCCUCUUUUACUUUGUUUUGUGUGAGGGAGACUAGUAGGUAAUGUUUGAUGCAGGUCAAUCAACUCCUGUCGACCUGAUCAUAUGGCUGUUGGUGGGGGUUGAAAAGGUAGAUUCAGGGUUUAA
Long non-coding RNA from Pan troglodytes (chimpanzee), 15448 nucleotides. RefSeq lists it as uncharacterized. Lineage: Eukaryota; Metazoa; Chordata; Mammalia; Primates; Hominidae. The transcript is spliced from 9 exons. The record is from RefSeq and is a predicted model, not a curated record.